This 615-nucleotide long non-coding RNA is filed under the name Homo sapiens (human). RNAcentral describes it as "HSALNT0134380". Lineage: Eukaryota; Metazoa; Chordata; Mammalia; Primates; Hominidae. The record is from RNAcentral.
GGCGGCUCACUCAGGACCCAGCGGGGGCAGCGCGAUGAGGCGGGUGACCCUGUUCCUGAACGGCAGCCCCAAGAACGGAAAGUGUAAGAGACUUAAAUGAAUAUGACUGUCACACAAAAAAGGUGUGUCCUACUUCAACACUCAACAUUCAAGAAAUAUUUGUCAAAGACCUGCUGUAAGCCAGGUGGUUGCUGUAUAUGGAACUUUAUCUGAUUUGCUUUCUGUGGCCAGCAGUAAACUCGGCAUAAAAGCCACCAGUGUGUAUAAUGGGAAAGGUGGACUGAUUGAUGAUAUUGCUUUGAUCAGGGAUGAUGAUGUUUUGUUUGUUUGUGAAGGAGAGCCAUUUAUUGGCGCUGAAAGCAUGCUGCUCUUAUAGCUGUUGGUAUUGGUGGGACUACCUUAUCACCUAGUGUUGUUUUAGAUGCAGUCUGUGGGUUUGGGUAUUGCUGUCCUAGUAGCUCUGAUCCUCAGACAGAUUCUAAGCCUCCUGAGGGAUUGUUAGGAUUCCACACAGACUGGCUGACAUUAAAUGUUGGAGGGCGGUACUUUACAACUACACGGAGCACUUUAGUGAAUAAAGAACCUGACAGUAUGCUGGCCCACAUGUUUAAGGAC